This 203-nucleotide ribosomal RNA is filed under the name uncultured bacterium. RNAcentral's name for it is "partial 16S ribosomal RNA". It matches the Rfam family "Bacterial small subunit ribosomal RNA", at positions 1298 to 1500 of the family's 1533-position model. The record is from RNAcentral.
UUGCAGGCUGCAACUCGCCUGCAUGAAGUUGGAGUUGCUAGUAAUCGCGGAUCAGCAAGCCGCGGUGAAUACGUUCCCGGGCCUUGUACACACCGCCCGUCACACCAUGAGAGUCGGGAACACCCGAAGUCCGUAGUCUAACCGCAAGGGGGGCGCGGCCGAAGGUGGGUCCGGUAAUUGGGGUGAAGUCGUAACAAGGUACC